This 80-nucleotide non-coding RNA is filed under the name uncultured Prevotella sp. Its description in RNAcentral is "TPP riboswitch (THI element)". It matches the Rfam family "TPP riboswitch aptamer (THI element)", at positions 9 to 90 of the family's 105-position model. From Rfam's summary of the family: Vitamin B(1) in its active form thiamin pyrophosphate (TPP) is an essential coenzyme that is synthesised by coupling of pyrimidine and thiazole moieties in bacteria. The previously detected thiamin-regulatory element, thi box was extended, resulting in a new, highly conserved RNA secondary structure, the THI element, which is widely distributed in eubacteria and also occurs in some archaea. Lineage: Bacteria; Pseudomonadati; Bacteroidota; Bacteroidia; Bacteroidales; Prevotellaceae. The record is from RNAcentral.
UCAAGGGGUGCUUGAUAUUUCAGGCUGAGAUGAUACCCUCUAACCUGAUCUGGAUAAUGCCAGCGUAGGGAUGGAUAGUA